This 2662-nucleotide long non-coding RNA is filed under the name Homo sapiens (human). RNAcentral's name for it is "HSALNT0360643". The record is from RNAcentral. Lineage: Eukaryota; Metazoa; Chordata; Mammalia; Primates; Hominidae.
UUUGUUCUGUUUUUAUUUUAUUGGUUAUGCUUCCAAACAUCAGCAUUAAGUAUCAUGAUAGCUUUUGAUUUUUGGUGAGUGAUGUGUGUGUAUCUGUGUUGUCUGCAUGUACACAAUUUAAGGGUGAAUCUAGUCAAUUUCUUGUUUUUUUUAAAUCAGAAAAGAACUUUGAAUUUUAUAAACUUUCCUUUUGACGUGUGUUUAUCAAAUGUUCUCCUUUGUCUAUUGAUAUGUGAACUACAUUAAUAGAUUUUCUUGUCUUGAAUCAUCUGUAAAAUAGUGAUUGAAAUUGUAUCUAUUUUUUAUUCAUUCUUGCAAAAAAUAUUUCCUGUGCAGCAACCAUGUGCUAUUCCAGGCACCAGGAAUGUGCAGAGGAAAACGUCAGCCCUCGCCAAGCUGACAUUUGUAUGCGUGAGUGACAGACAGCAAAUCACGAAUAAACAAGAUACUGGACAAGCUGCAGAGGAGCCUGUGUCCUGGGAGCCGGAAGCUCUUUGAAAACAGCAUGAGGAUGAGGCUGCUGGAGCAAGUGUGAUCGUGGCACCAAUGAGCAAAUCUGGAGGCUCCCCAAGUCUCUGAGCACCCCAUCUUAUAAAGCUCCAUUCGCAGCUCCACAACAUGCGCUGAAACCAAAGCCACGUGCUCCGAAAGUGAAGAGAAACAACCGGCUAGGCUAUCUGAUACAUGGAGAUACAACCCCAGAAAGUCUAUUCCUUUAAAAACAAGUGGCUGUCUUGCCCUUGGGUGACACACAUUGAAGGGACUUGCCUAUCUUCAAAUGAUUGCACGAUUGUGGCAACACAUUAGAAGUUGGUGAACCGAGCUGAGGAAACUCCCUGCUGCUCUGCAGCCCCCCAUUCCGGGGGACUUCACGUGGGAAGCAUUUUGGAUGGCAUAGAAGUGCUGCUUGGACCUGCUGUGUGGGUGAGAAGCCCACGGCAGUGCUUCUAGUGGGGUGCCAGUUCCUUGCCCACUGGUCCACAUGGGGGCACUUGGAGAGGACUGUGGUCUCAGUGGACCAGGAGCUCUAGAGACAGUGCUCCUCCCCUCUUCACCUUGUGACCCAACGCUGCUAGUGGGUUCCCUACAGCCCAGCCCAGGCCAACGUGGGCAGGGACUCCCUUCGGGCAUGCCGCUAGCUGUUCCUGGCAGCCUUCAGCCUCUGCUCCAUUCUCCCUCUCCACCCCAGCCUGAGCCUUUGCCCUGACACCAUAGACCAAUGGCCUCUGGUCAGUCGCUGACGCCUGGGGCCCCUGGCCAUCUUGUCACCUGCAGCCUCUGGCUCUCUCUCUCAGCACUGCUUCUCCAUGGACAGAUCUGAUGGGCAAAGGGUUGCUGUGCUUUAAUUUUUCCCAGGGCUAACCCCGGUGGCAGCCCGAGCAUCUCUGAAGGCCACGACGCCUCUGACCCCAUGGGACUCCGCGGCGGGAAAGCGCUAGUGUCGCGUAACAGAACGAUCUCACAGCGCAUCGGAUUCAGAUAUUAAUGGCUUUAUUCUGACUUCCUGUUCUUAUGCACAUGUAUCUCUUUUCCCUGUAGAUCUUCUGUUUGGCUGGAUGGCUACUUUGACUGCCAGAUUCAAAGAGAAAAAGCCCAUAAAAUUCACAAAUGCGCAGUCACAUGUCUAGUUUUUGCUCAGCCGCAUCUAGAGAAUGACUUAAAUGUGGGCACUGGGGCCUGUCUUUGCUUUUUGAUUGUUUAAGACUCAGAAAUGCCCAGAUUUUCAGAGCAUAGAAUUGUCCCAAUUCAAAGUAUAGUAUGAAGGGACUGGGAAUUUGGUUAAUGAAAAUAAUACAUCUCAAUUUAAUUUUUAAAACGUAUGUCUCCUUUUAAAUAAGGACUCUUACUAUGUAUGCAUUACUGAGGACGACAUGAUGUACAUCGGCUUACAGAGAGCGAAAUCUUCUGUUAUGUUAACCUUCAUGCUGUUUCUUUUCUCAUCUUUUACAAAUCCUAAAUUUGAAAAUCCCAGCCUGCGAUGAUGGCUGCUGGGAAGGCCGUGUGUGUCGUUCCUCUUUGGGAUCGGGUGGUAUGAACGCCUCCGUCUGCACCCAUUGUCCAGGGGCUUCGAUGACAUUGGUUACAGCUCCUGUCCCCACAUUGAAUGUGGAUUCGACAACUGCAGGAAGGUGCCUCCCAGGAUUCCUGGAUCCCCUGGAUGCUGGGUAGAUGAGCCUGUGUCUCCCUAUAGAAGUCUGAAUGUUCCAGUUUGGGAAAAUGGUGCCUCGAUUUGGUUGCCUUUGGAUUUGAACAGUAUUCUAUCAUGCUCAGUGUCUCUACUUAAAUGUGGAUUUAAAAUAUUUCCCCCUAAAAUAUAUCUUUAUUUUAUUCAUAGUGCAAUAAAGCACUGAGUGUUUGGAAAGACUCAAACUUCUGGGAGAUAAGCUGUGUAUCCUAUAGUUUGGUCUUACUGAGAAAUUUUUAAUUUUUUCCUCAGCAUCAAACAUGUUGUAUUUCAGUCCUAAAGGGAUAGGUUAGACUAUUCAAAAUACCAAAUAUUUUCCUAGGAAAGGUCACUUAAACACAACUUCUAAAUGCAGGCAACAUCCGAGUGUGGUGGUUCACGCCUGGAAUCCCGGCACUUUGAAAGUUAUGGCGGCAGGAUUGCUUGAGCUCAGGAGUUUGAGAGCAGCUUGAGCAACAUAGAGAGACUCUGUAUCUA